UUGCUUCGAGCCAGUCACGAUAUGAUUUCUCUCUAGGUGCCGUGGAUCAUCUCGACAUGCCUGAGCACGUUGAGAGGAGACAUGACAGCGCGGCGAGUAGUGUACGGAGGCACGCGUCCUCCGUGUGUAUACGUGGGACCAAAGAGACUAGUCAACAGUCCGAUACACCGAGCAUCGACACACGCGGUUGUCGUAUUGUAUGCGGUAAAGAAGGAUGAAGGACCCGAAGGAGAUGAAAUUCCGAUCCUCGACGAGGAGGAGG
Molecule: long non-coding RNA, 262 nt
Organism: Diprion similis
Lineage: Eukaryota; Metazoa; Arthropoda; Insecta; Hymenoptera; Diprionidae
Exons: 3
Source: RefSeq, a predicted model, not a curated record